UGGGGAAUUUUGGACAAUGGGCGCAGGCCUGAUCCAGCAAUGCCGCGUGAGUGAAGAAGGCCUUCGGGUUGUAAAGCUCUUUUGUCAGGGAAGAAACGGCUGAGGUUAAUACCUUUGGCUAAUGACGGUACCUGAAGAAUAAGCACCGGCUAACUACGUGCCAGCAGCCGCGGUAAUACGUAGGGUGCAAGCGUUAAUCGGAAUUACUGGGCGUAAAGCGUGCGCAGGCGGUUUUGUAAGUUUGUCGUGAAAGCCCCGGGCUCAACCUGGGAAUGGCGAUGAAGACUGCAAGGCUUGAAUCUGGCAGAGGGGGGGUAGAAUUCCACGUGUAGCAGUGAAAUGCGUAGAGAUGUGGAGGAACACCGAUGGCGAAGGCAGCCCCCUGGGUCAAGAUUGACGCUCAUGCACGAAAGCGUGGGGAGCAAA
RNAcentral lists this ribosomal RNA (426 nucleotides) under uncultured bacterium. Its description in RNAcentral is "bacterial SSU rRNA". It matches the Rfam family "Bacterial small subunit ribosomal RNA", at positions 355 to 772 of the family's 1533-position model. The record is from RNAcentral.